This 1325-nucleotide ribosomal RNA is filed under the name metagenome. Its description in RNAcentral is "bacterial LSU rRNA". It matches the Rfam family "Bacterial large subunit ribosomal RNA", at positions 1561 to 2925 of the family's 2925-position model. The record is from RNAcentral.
AGUGGAUGGGGAGCAACCUAGUUGUGCGUGUGUAAAGGUAGUGCCAAGAAAAGCGAUGAUCAUGUUGAAAAUCAAUUCCCGGUACCCGAAACCGACACAGGUGGGCAAGUAGAGAAUACUAAGGGGCGCGAGGUAACUCUCUCCAAGGAACUCGGCAAAAUGGCCCCGUAACUUAGGGAGAAGGGGUGCCACCGAGAGGUGGUCGCAGUGAAGAGGCCCAGGCGACUGUUUAGCAAAAACAUAGGUCUCUGCAAACUCGAAAGAGGAGGUAUAGGGGCUGACGCCUGCCCAGUGCCGGAAGGUUAAAGAAGUUGGUCAGUUUUAGGAUGAAGCUAGCGACUGAAGCCCCGGUGAACGGCGGCCGUAACUAUAACGGUCCUAAGGUAGCGAAAUUCCUUGUCGGGUAAGUUCCGACCCGCACGAAAGGCGUAACGAUCUGGGCGCUGUCUCGGAGAGAGGCUCGGCGAAAUAGGAUUGUCUGUGAAGAUACGGACUACCUGCAUUUGGACAGAAAGACCCUAUGAAGCUUUACUAUAGCUUGGAAUUGUGUUCGGGCUUCCUGUGCGCAGUAUAGGUGGGAGGCGUAGAAGGUAUUCUUGUGGGGAUACUGGAGCCAACGGUGAGAUACCACUCUCAGGAGGCUAGAAUUCUAACUUAAUUAAGGACAGUUUCAGGUGGGUAGUUUGACUGGGGCGGUCGCCUCCAAAAAGGUAACGGAGGCGUACAAAGGUUCCCUCAGACUGGUUGGAAAUCAGUCGAAGAGUGCAAAGGCAGAAGGGAGCUUGACUGCGAGAAGUACAGUUCGAGCAGGGUGGAAACACGGUCUUAGUGAUCCGACGGUGCUGUGUGGAAGGGCCGUCGCUCAACGGAUAAAAGUUACUCUAGGAUAACAGGCUGAUCUCCCCCAAGAGUUCACAUCGACGGGGAGGUUUGGCACCUCGAUGUCGGCUCAUCGCAACCUGGGGCGGAAGUACGUCCCAAGGGUUGGGCUGUUCGCCCAUUAAAGCGGUACGUGAGCUGGGUUCAGAACGUCGUGAGACAGUUCGGUCCAUAUCCGAUGUAGGCGUGAGAAUAUUGAGAGGAGCCUUCCUUAGUACGAGAGGACCGGGAAGGACGCACCGCUGGUGUACCUGUUAUGAUGCCAAUUGUAAACGCAGGGUAGCCAAGUGCGGAGAGGAUAACCGCUGAAAGCAUCUAAGUGGGAAGCCCACCUCAAGAUGAGUAUUCUGGUGUAAGGUCACGGGAAGACGACCCGUAAAUAGGCACGAGGUGGAAGUGCAGAGAUGUAUGAAGCCGAAGUGUACUAAUAGACCGUCGGCUUGACC